GCGGAAGGCAGCAGCCGCAGGCGGUCU
RNAcentral lists this non-coding RNA (27 nucleotides) under Heterocapsa rotundata. Lineage: Eukaryota; Dinophyceae; Peridiniales; Heterocapsaceae. The record is from RNAcentral. RNAcentral also lists the same sequence under 1 other name.